GCACAGGAGGGGAUUCCCCCUGCCAACCCCAAGCAGGACCGUGGCACACGUGUACCGGCUGUGCUGGGGGAGCCGGCUGGGCAGAGACGCCAGCUGACGUCAUCAGCCCGCACCCCGGAGGAAAGGGGGUGGGGCUAGAGUUGGAGGGGGAUUCAAAAAGCAGGGACGCUAGCCAGGAGAGGAGGAAACCGGAGAAGCAGGAAGGGGUAAGGGGCCGAGAACAGGAACCUGGGGGGGAGGGGGGAGCCCACGCCGACUUCGGUGGACUGGUGAGCGGCGGGCUGAACCCUGCCCCGGAGGAGAACGCCCCAGCGGUCAGGGAGAACCCCGAGCCGAAACCUGGAGAGAGAGACUGGUUUUAAACGCGUGCUUUCCCAAGCCAAAGAAGAAACUUCAUUGCCAGACAAGAGACACAGGAAUAGAAAGAACUGGAAGCAAACCCAGAGACUCAUGAAGGGGUACAAGAUCAGACUGAAUGAAAUUGCAUUCGGGAAUAUGUGAAUUACCUUCCUACUGUAGCACAGAACUAUAAGCAGUAGGAAGGAAAUUAUUUUCAGAAAGGUUACAGAUAGACUACUAAUUUGUUGACUAAUGUAGAGCAGUCUAGAAUAUAGAGUUUGUGUGGUCCAAUGGUUAGAGCACAGAACAAAGUCUGGUUCUAAUCCCAGCUGACAUGUUGAAUCACUGUGUGACCUUAAGGAAGUUACUAGGUCAUCUUAUGUCUUCAUCAACUUGAUGUAAAAUUGGAUAAAAAACAGGACUUGGUUGAAAACCAGAUGUGCAUCUGAUAUGAGUCUUCCUAGGUAAAUAAAUUACUGAAAACUUAUGCAGAACAACAAGAACUUGA
Pelodiscus sinensis (Chinese soft-shelled turtle) is the source of this 847-nucleotide non-coding RNA. The record is from RefSeq and is a predicted model, not a curated record. NCBI's taxonomy places the organism in Eukaryota, Metazoa, Chordata, Testudines, Trionychidae.